This 120-nucleotide ribosomal RNA is filed under the name Danio rerio (zebrafish). The record is from RNAcentral. Lineage: Eukaryota; Metazoa; Chordata; Actinopteri; Cypriniformes; Danionidae.
AGCCACAGCCAUAUCACUCUGCAGCCCAAGAUCGGUUACUCACUGAAGCUAAGCAGGGCUGAGCCUGGUCAGUACCUGGAUGGGAAACCACAUGGAAAAAAAACUAGGUUGCUGUUGGAG